CAGUUUAGUGAAUUUGGUUGUUCCAUGUUUCAAAGUCAGUACUGAUAAUUCUUGUUGCAUCUAGAAAGGAAGGAAAAUAAAUGAAUAUGAAAAUGCCAAAUCUUGUUUUUAGUUAAUGUCGUAGCAAGGUACAAGUGUUGUUGCACAUGGUAAAACACUAUGAAACAAUAAUUUGGCUUAUCAGAGUUGCUGCCAAAAAUUACAAUUCCCAGAAAGAUAAAUGCAAAGUUAAAAUGCUCUGAGAAGGAGGUAGCUUUUUGUUCUUGAU
RNAcentral lists this long non-coding RNA (268 nucleotides) under Panax ginseng (ginseng). Its description in RNAcentral is "long non-coding RNA (PGIN_LNC003475)". The record is from RNAcentral. Lineage: Eukaryota; Viridiplantae; Streptophyta; Magnoliopsida; Apiales; Araliaceae.